This 39-nucleotide ribosomal RNA is filed under the name Brassia sp. Hirtz 8089. RNAcentral's name for it is "partial 26S ribosomal RNA". The record is from RNAcentral. Lineage: Eukaryota; Viridiplantae; Streptophyta; Magnoliopsida; Asparagales; Orchidaceae. RNAcentral also lists the same sequence under 1 other name.
GAGACCCCAGGAUGGGCGAGGCCACCCGCCGAGUUUAAG